This 499-nucleotide ribosomal RNA is filed under the name uncultured bacterium. RNAcentral describes it as "bacterial SSU rRNA". It matches the Rfam family "Bacterial small subunit ribosomal RNA", at positions 28 to 524 of the family's 1533-position model. The record is from RNAcentral.
GAUGAACGCUGGCGGCGUGCCUAACACAUGCAAGUCGAGCGAGAAACCAUCGAUUGAAACUUCGGUAGAUAUUGAAGGCGGAAAGCGGCGGACGGGUGAGUAACGCGUAGGCAACCUGCCCUUUGCAGAGGGAUAGCAACGGGAAACUGUUAUUAAAACCUCAUAAUACCGUAAUGUCAAAUGAUGAAACGGUCAAAGAUUUAUCGGCAAAGGAUGGGCCUGCGUCUGAUUAGUUAGUUGGUAGGGUAACGGCCUACCAAGGCAGCGAUCAGUAGCCGACCUGAGAGGGUGAUCGGCCACAUUGGAACUGAGACACGGUCCAAACUCCUACGGGAGGCAGCAGUGGGGAAUAUUGCACAAUGGGCGAAAGCCUGAUGCAGCAACGCCGCGUGAAGGAUGAAGGCCUUUGGGUCGUAAACGUUCUGUCCUUGGGGAAGAGAAAAAUGACGGUACCCCUGGAGGAAGUCCCGGCUAACUACGUGCCAGCAGCCGCGGUAAU